GUCCUGGAUGGCACUUCACUUGAAGGUAAAAAUUAUUCUGAUAAUACAUGCAUGAAAUAGCACUGAUAAUUUUUUUUUUUCUGACCAUUUCAUGUCCUGAGCCAAGAGACCCUGGGCUUGGUUCAAAUACUCUGUUGAAGUUCAGCUGCCAGUAUUAUCAGCUUUCUGAGCAUAGAUAUGAUGGACAUGUGUAUAGAUUCUGUGGACAUCCUCGGGAAAAAACUCCAGCCAUGAUUGGACCAGCUGCUUUUUUAAUGACAAGCGCUGCCUCAGAACUUCUGGAGCCGAGUCUCCUUGCGCACUGCAGUGUCAACUGCCACAGCACUGAUGUACCUCUGGGUGAACAAGGACUGCAUAAAAUGAAAGGUUGCCUGUGACUGAAUAAAAGUGAGAAAAUGACCACUGCAGAAAUCAGGAGAACAGCAGAUUAUGAAAUAAAAUAUGGCUAAUUGUCUGGAGACAAUAAGCAAGUCAUUGCCUCAUGUCCAAAGGCUGAAUAUAGCAACUUUGCAAUGGAUCCUCUCAGUCUGAUGGAUUACCUUUCCAAUGGGGAAGAUGAAAGUACGUCUAUGUUUGGUAUAUAUAGUUGAUGAAAUUAUUGAACCAUCUAAUCAUUUUUUAUUUCUGAGAAAGAUUUAAAGAAUACAGGUUGUAUAGAAUAAAUAUUGAGCUACUGAAUGACUCAUUAAUAUAGAAUGCACAUUUUCAUUGGCCUAGAGGUGGAUUGUCAAAUGAUUUAUCAGCAAAAAUAUGUGACUCUUCAUUGCUGAAGAACUUUGCAUAUAUAUUAGAUUUAUUGAGUUAAGCAAUUGUAAUUAUCAAAUGGUUUACCUUUGUCUGACAAGUACCAACAUUCUACUCAUAACAUGCUUAUUAUUUUCUUUUAAAACUACUUCUAGUAAUUACUUCUAAUAUCUAAUUACUCCAUAACUGUAGUACACAUUCAUAAAAGUAAAAUGUAUAACAAAAAAAUUCUACCUUAAAAAUGUUAUGAAUUAUGAAGUAAUAGGAACAAAUAGAAGUGAAAUAUAUAUUUAAUUUGCUCACUGAAAUUGAGGGGAUGAAGGUCACAAGAUAUUUUCUUUCCCAAGUGAUAUUUCAGAUCACAGCUCCAAAGUGAUUGGAAGCUUCAGCCCUUAACUGUAAUAUUUUAAAGAAUAAGAUGAGUUUCAAACUGAAAAUAUCACAAAACAGUUUGCUAUAUACAUAUUCUGCCAGCCUCAUAUGUAGGUGAUGUCAAAUUAAAUGAAGUCGAAACUGACUUUAAAAUGUUCAAUAAAACCUUCAAGAAGAAAUUUGUGUAUCAAGUACUGUGCUCCAUAAGCUGGAGAUGUAACCAGAGAUACAAAUUCCUUGGUCCCAGUCUAUUCUAAACGGUACCUGAAAAUUCUCAUUUUUAAUAAUGUAUUCUAGGGCAUGAGAUACAGAAAUUUUCCCAUCUUCUAGGAAAUGACUUUUUAUAUUAUAUAGUCAUUCUGCUUGAACCUUCCACAGUAUGGUUUACCACAGAACCAUCCAACGGCAGAGAGAGCCAUUGUGGAAAGCACCUUAGUAGCAUACAUUGGAGAAAAGAAAUCUUUUUUUUUGGCUUCUUUUCAUUUUCCUGGCACCACACUUACACAUACUGAGCAGGCAUAAUACUCUCCACUUCUAGAAAUCUUUCACAGUGACAGAUCAGGAUAAGAAAAGCAACUUAGGGACUCUUUCAAGUCUUUGUUUUGUAAUUCAGUGUGUUGAAAUGUUUUCUUCAGAAGUAUUUGAUCCUAAAUGCUAAGGAGGUACAUGAUAUAAGGAAAAAUACAUUUGUCUCUGUGCAGGUAUAACUACCAGCAUGACAUCAAAAGAUAAAUUUACAAUGGGAAUGACCUUGAAGAUGAAAAAAUUGGGUUCUUUAACACAACUCUGAUAUACAUACUGUAUUUUUGUUUCUUUAUUACCUGUUUCUAUACAAUAAAAAAAUAAAAUAAAAUAAAAUAAAAUAAAAAAACAGAAACUGGAUGGUUGGGAGAAGGUUGUCUUAUGAACUUACUUAAUAAGAUUUUUCUUUGCACUGCAGUUACAAUUAUGAUAACUGUCACCUAAACUAAUAUUGUAGGAUUCACAGUCGUAUAUGGAAUUGUGUUUUUUGCUCUUUUAAUAUAAUUUAAUAUUGGUCAAGGUUAGACUACAAUUGGUCUAGACUGCAAUAACACUACCUUACUUGUCAGGCUAGUGACUAAAUUUUUCAUUACUGAAUAUAAAAAUUUAAUACUAUAGUGCAUACUCAUAAAAUCAAUAUUUUGAUGCUUUUGGGACAAUAGAUCUUAGCUAUUUACAUAAAUAUUUUAUGAUUUUUCUUGUAAUCCAUAAACUAAAAAGCUCACUGAAUGUCUAGGCCAAAGGCUAUCCAAUCUUCCACUGGAGUGUAAAUCUUUUUGUAUUCUUUUGACAAGCCCACUUACACAGAUUCAGAAUUUAGAUAGUCUCAUUUUCUUUCUGGAGGUGUAUAUAUUUUUCUUCCUUCCCUUUCCCUUUCCCUUCCCUUCCUCUCUUUCUCUCUUUCUUCGUCUUCUUCCUUCCUUCCCUCUUUUUUUUUUUCUGUUCUAUACUUUCUGUUGUUGUGUUUGUUUUUUGUCUGAUGAUGGUCCAGUUUUUGUGUAAUUUUUGUAGUCUGUUAGAAUGCCUCAAAACCUCAGCUCUUCAAGAUUAUAAAUGAUCUAAAUAAAUUAUCAUUUCUCAUGUUGUGAGUUAACUUGUCUUCAGACGAUGGAAAACAUAUCAUUAACUGCAACAAAU
This is a long non-coding RNA of Gallus gallus (chicken), 2775 nucleotides long. NCBI's taxonomy places the organism in Eukaryota, Metazoa, Chordata, Aves, Galliformes, Phasianidae. The record is from Ensembl.